CGUAGUGGGUCGUUACUCAGAAAAGGAGAUUGGUACUCGAGUUUAAAGGGUAAUAAAUUAGUCAAACGUAUAAGGUAAAGGCAUCAGUGCUGAGCCAUGCACCAGUGUGCCAAAAGUAGGUGUUAUUAUAGAUUAAUAAAGUAUGAAUUGAAAAGUAACUUAAUUUUUAAAAUAAUUGUUUAGCAUAAACCACAACACUACUUCAAAGAAGUGCUGUCUUCUGACAUGAAGGGAUAUGCCAUAUGCGCCAUUUUUUUGGAGCGUCACAUGGUAUUUUGAUCAGACGUUAGCAGCCGAAUUGUGAUAUUUUUUUAAAAAAAGCAUGUGCACUGCUUCACGUAAUUAAUACUUAAUUUAUCUGGAAAAAGUAAAAAAUUAAUAUGAAUCCAUAUUAAAGUAAGCCCUGGCCGAUUACUGGGUUUGAGGCAGUAAUUUUAAAGGGACGUGGACCGAGAGGACAGCCGAUAGAGGCUGAGCAUAGGUUUCAAGAUUUAUUUUUAUUUUCAAAUGCAAUGUAAGUCGUUAAAUCAAGCACCUUUAAAUAUCUACAUUAUUAUGACUUUAUUUCAUUGAAAUACAUCAAAUACUCAGUAGUCAUCCUGUGGCUGACUACUGGACACUGAAAUCACGGAACUCGGAACCCAAUAGCCAGAAGUUAAAAUGGGAUGGCUGUAGACUGGGUACUUAAAGGCUGUGUCUUGGUAGUCGGGAGGCUGAUUGCUGGCGGAAGGGCCCUUGCAUUAUAUUUAAUGAAAUAUUUCCAUAAGCUAAAUUAAAUUACGUUUUAUUCUUUAUAAAAAUUAAACUUUAAUAAAUUAUUGAUGAGUAAAAACAUUCAUAAUUCUUAUUGAUCAAUUAGUGGGCAAAUGAGACGUUCUUGAAUAUAGAAAUUUCGUGGAGGGGUUGACUAUUGGUGCCUUUACCCUGCGAUAAGUACGAGAGACGCGUCUAACACGUCUGGAGCGGUUGCCGAAAGUUAUAAAUAGCUCAGUUUAAGUCAGGACCGCCAUUAUAUUUUUGACCGUCGGAUUGUCACUUUCUCUGGCUUAUUCGUAGACGUAAAAACAAAGAGCCAGUUCAGUGUCAGGUUGCAUGGUCAACCUACCGAGUACACCUAACCAAACGGUGACAAGCAGGUUUACUCGGGAAUCCAGUAGAGAGUUAGGUCCAGGUCGCGAGAGGGGCCUGGCGUCAGCCUUUUUACCAACACAGGUGACGAUUAUACCUCUUACGUUCUCUUCAAGGUCUGACAGAGGGAUAUGAGGGUCUCACGUGUGGACCAUUAGGAGUAAUCCUUACUCAUUGAAAUCUGUUGGUAAUUGAAGAAGCGUUGUCUUGUUAAAUAUAUUUAUUUAUACACAUUAUAUACAUGGUUAAGGCGCCUUAUUCAUCUGUACCCAGGCUUCGGCUAACACAGAUGGAGGGAGGCAAUCACACAGACACUAGGGUUUGCUAUACCUCGGUUUUGUCGGCCGAACGUUUAGAGCUUAAAUUAGGGUCCCUCACACACACACUCCUCCCUGUAAAAAUAGAGGUUCGCCUCUAGUUUUACACACAUUAGAAUAGGUGAAUUGGGGUAGAGUUAGGGUAGAGUCAUUAUUUGGGUGUUAGGUUUAUUUAUUUUCUUUCACAUUUAGUUUGAUUGUAUACAAAACUAAAAUCAUAAGAGUUUUUACUGUUUUUAAUUACAAAAUAAAUUAAAAUCUAUUUUCAGUAGCAUAUGGAUGGGUUACUGAGGCUCGUACAUUAAAUAUGAUUCAAGGUAUAUAUAUUUUUACAUUGGGUGAGAUAGGGGAACAAAGUUAUUUGAGGACAUACUAAAUAAUUUUGUUAUAGGGAGCUAGUGACCGGCGGAGCAGUUCACUAGUGACAAUUGAGCUUUUCUAUAACUGGGGAAUUAAAGGGUAAAUAAAGUCAUAUUUAAUAGACGAUUGUUUUCAGUAUUCCAUACAUUAAUAGUACAUUCAGAUGAGUUUCUUGGCGUUUCUUCUCGUCUGAAAUUAGGUUACGAAACGUUGGUAGAGUAAUAUUACAUAGUGCUUAGGAAUACCUAUUAAAAAUAAAAUAAAAUAAAAUGGGUAUUAAUUAGCUUAGAGACCCGUCUUCAUCCGGGCGUGACAGUAGAUAAAGUAUGUUUGUACUUACUAUUCUUUGCAAUAUUUACUUAUGGUUACAAUGGUUACAUAUACAUAUUUUCCUUUAGCUAGCUAGGUUAGCGAAGAGAUAUAUUAAAAGGAAAAUAUAAGUUUUAAAUUACAAACAAAAAGGGCUUACUACUGUUCACGGUAACUGGUCACGGUAGGGCCCGGUAGGAGAUAAAUUCUAAAAAAUAU
Cydia pomonella (codling moth) is the source of this 2333-nucleotide long non-coding RNA. RefSeq lists it as uncharacterized. The transcript has 2 exons. Lineage: Eukaryota; Metazoa; Arthropoda; Insecta; Lepidoptera; Tortricidae. The record is from RefSeq and is a predicted model, not a curated record.